Molecule: ribosomal RNA, 448 nt
Filed under: Epicoccum nigrum
Lineage: Eukaryota; Fungi; Ascomycota; Dothideomycetes; Pleosporales; Didymellaceae
Description: eukaryotic LSU rRNA
Rfam family: 5.8S ribosomal RNA (bases 114-267)
Source: RNAcentral
UCUUACCCAUGUCUUUUGAGAGCCUUCGUUUCCUCGGCGGGUCCGCCCGCCGAUUGGACAACAUUCAAACCCUUUGCAGUUGCAAUCAGCGUCUGAAAAAACAUAAUAGUUACAACUUUCAACAACGGAUCUCUUGGUUCUGGCAUCGAUGAAGAACGCAGCGAAAUGCGAUAAGUAGUGUGAAUUGCAGAAUUCAGUGAAUCAUCGAAUCUUUGAACGCACAUUGCGCCCCUUGGUAUUCCAUGGGGCAUGCCUGUUCGAGCGUCAUUUGUACCUUCAAGCUCUGCUUGGUGUUGGGUGUUUGUCUCGCCUCCGCGUGUAGACUCGCCUUAAAACAAUUGGCAGCCGGCGUAUUGAUUUCGGAGCGCAGUACAUCUCGCGCUUUGCACUCAUAACGACGACGUCCAAAAGUACAUUUUUACACUCUUGACCUCGGAUCAGGUAGGGA